CCUACGGGUGGCUGCAGUAGGGAAUAUUGCUCAAUGGGGGAAACCCUGAAGCAGCAACGCCGCGUGGAGGAUGAAGGUUUUCGGAUUUUAAACCCCUUUUGUUAGAGAAGAUAAUGACGGUACUUAACGAAUAAGCACCGGCUAACUCCGUGCCAGCAGCCGCGGUAAUACGGAGGGUGCAAGCGUUACCCGGAUUGACUGGGCGUAAAGGGGGCGUAGGCGGGUUAGCAAGUCAGAUGUGAAAUCCGAUGGCUUAACCAUAGAACUGCUUUUGAAACUGUUAUUCUAGAGUAUGGGAGAGGUAGGUGGAAUUCUUGGUGUAGGGGUAAAAUCCGUAGAGAUCAAGAGGAAUACUCAUUGCGAAGGCGACCUGCUAGAACAUAACUGACGCUGAUGCGCGAAAGCGUGGGGAGCAAACAGGAUUAGAUACCCUUGUAGUC
RNAcentral lists this ribosomal RNA (440 nucleotides) under uncultured bacterium. RNAcentral describes it as "partial 16S ribosomal RNA". It matches the Rfam family "Bacterial small subunit ribosomal RNA", at positions 338 to 795 of the family's 1533-position model. The record is from RNAcentral.